GAGAGAGAGUGUAAAAAGUUUCU
Molecule: small nuclear RNA, 23 nt
Filed under: Arabidopsis thaliana (thale cress)
Lineage: Eukaryota; Viridiplantae; Streptophyta; Magnoliopsida; Brassicales; Brassicaceae
Description: snRNA_08477
Source: RNAcentral